AAAGCCACACAAGAGAGAUGGGUACCAUGAUUCUGAAGGUGUUUUUUUCCCCCCACGAGGCUUAUUCAGUGCACUUUGGAUGUGCUGACCGACCCCUGCAACUUCCCCAAAUUCAGGGAGUCUGGACUGUGAAAUUAGUGGUAGUUGGGGAUUGCAUUUGCAAUCUACCC
This 170-nucleotide small nuclear RNA is filed under the name Mus pahari (shrew mouse). RNAcentral describes it as "snRNA (MGP_PahariEiJ_G0033804.1)". Lineage: Eukaryota; Metazoa; Chordata; Mammalia; Rodentia; Muridae. The record is from RNAcentral.